UUGAGUAUAGGCAUAUUGUUUAGGGUUAGGGUUGGGGUUUGAUAAUGCUUCGAGCGGCGACGAGGCGUGACUCGCAGACCGACGAGUUGCUUCUGAGGAGAUCUCACUCUGACGGAGCAUCCAAUGACCGGCUCUUGUAGCUCCCCGGAUCCGCCUAUUACGUGCAAGUAAUGCAUGCCCAUACUCAUUUAGAUUUCAAGCAGAAGAUGAAACUCCCGCUUAUAUCCGAACAUUGAAUCAAUGAUUUACCACAAAAAAUAGCCUUCACUGUGGAGGGGACCUUGACCUGACCGCAUAAAAGUUCUCUGUAAGAUAAAGACGGCGGCGAUGUGAUGAGACAGAAUGAGGACGACGCCUUAAAGGUGAAGUGAUGGAGUAUAAGAGAGGGGAGAGGCCGCGAACGCUGCAAUAUGUGGAGCAGAAGACAGAUUUUCUGAUACAACGGUAGCUUUUGGCCCCCUGGACGACUCCCCAAUUCUGGCGACGACACUACAGCUCUGUCGGCUUUCCAUGAAUGGGGAAUUUGUAUCUAUACUUUAUGCGGGUAGGAAAAUAUGAAAUUCUUUUGAUGAGGUCAAGAAUUGUAUUUUGUUUUUGUUCUGACACACCAAUGACUUAGUCGUCAUUGAUGGUGAGUUGGUGUCUGUAACUUUUCAGUGGCCAUGAAUGGGAAAUUUGUAUCUGUAUUUCAUUAAAGAUUAGAAAAUUUGAAUGCUUUUUUAAGAGGCCAUGAAUUGUAACUUUGGGUUUAUGCUAUCA
Molecule: long non-coding RNA, 759 nt
Organism: Diospyros lotus (date-plum)
Lineage: Eukaryota; Viridiplantae; Streptophyta; Magnoliopsida; Ericales; Ebenaceae
Exons: 2
Source: RefSeq, a predicted model, not a curated record